AUCUUUUUUCAUUAUACAUCCAUAAACAACUCAAAGAUUUGGCAAAUUUGUGGAGAGAAAAUGUUCCAACAGCCCAAGAGGGCAUCACACUGACAUACAUGAGGAGCUGGUUUGCUCCCCCCACAUCCCACAAUGCACUGCUCUGAGAAGGAAACCUUUGGCUAGGUUUUAGAAAUGCAUCUGCUAAACAGAACUGAAAGAACAGUGGGAUUUCUCUGAGAGAUUUCCCAGAGCCACUGGGAUCCUCUCUCCUUCUGCCAUCAGGACUGAGGCUCCAUCUGAGCAGGAAAUGAUGAAGGAAUGCUGAACGAUGGAGUGGCAUCAGAAAAUUAGAGGUUCACAUUUUCCUGGGUGGAUCUUCUGCUGGCGUUCUCAUGUUAGCCGUGGGAUGUCGGCAGCCUCUUCUCUCUCAGGUUUGACCCUGAAGGUGAUAUCAGCCCACGACCCAACAGAGUGAAGAAAAAUCUGGAUGGAUGGAUGGUCACGGCUCAGUUUUACAGAUACACCGGUCCUGUUUAAAUUCUGGAAGAUCUUUCUGAAGGAAGUUUGCUUCUCAACCAACUGUGCAGAACGUGAACGUCUGGAGACCAUCUCCAGCAGGAACAGGAGGAACCCGCUGGAAACGGGACCAAGCCCUGAAGACCAUAGCGAGAUGCCUCAGGGACCACCGCCCCAGCUGGAAGGACAUCAUCAAGCCAAUCAGGCUCCUGAGGAGCAGAAGAGCAGGACUUCUCACCACCACCACCACUCCUCCUCUGGGAGCUGCCGCUUCCCUUCAGGUGACCAUUCUUGUGCUGACAACACUGUUUUCUGGACAGAGGAGGUCCAUGAACGGAGUAGAACCAGCAGCUCUGUGCUCAGAUGGAUGUCUGUGGAUAACUGA
Molecule: long non-coding RNA, 883 nt
Filed under: Oryzias sinensis (Chinese medaka)
Lineage: Eukaryota; Metazoa; Chordata; Actinopteri; Beloniformes; Adrianichthyidae
Description: lncRNA (ENSOSIG00000001174.1)
Source: RNAcentral